RNAcentral lists this ribosomal RNA (253 nucleotides) under uncultured bacterium. RNAcentral describes it as "partial 16S ribosomal RNA". It matches the Rfam family "Bacterial small subunit ribosomal RNA", at positions 524 to 776 of the family's 1533-position model. The record is from RNAcentral.
UACGAAGGGUGCAAGCGUUAAUCGGAAUUACUGGGCGUAAAGCGUGCGCAGGCGGUGAUGUAAGACAGAUGUGAAAUCCCCGGGCUCAACCUGGGAACUGCAUUUGUGACUGCAUCGCUGGAGUGCGGCAGAGGGGGAUGGAAUUCCGCGUGUAGCAGUGAAAUGCGUAGAUAUGCGGAGGAACACCGAUGGCGAAGGCAAUCCCCUGGGCCUGCACUGACGCUCAUGCACGAAAGCGUGGGGAGCAAACAGG